AAAUGGAUGCGGCUCCCACAUCCGGACCAGAACCCGGCCGCCCGGGAAAGGUAACCACGAUCCCAAACAGGAUGGACGUCUAUCUCUUCUUUUGUCAAAGGUCACUGGGACUGCACAACCUCUCUCAGUGAGGCCACCUCAUUUUGAGAAAAAUGAACACCUUUCCAACUGAGGUACGCGCGGGGAAUGUGGGCCCUCGGGGAAGAGAAGAAAAAGAUGAGGAAAAACAGCGGAGAAGAUAUUUUCCUUUUGAUGUCCCAGA
Molecule: long non-coding RNA, 262 nt
Organism: Tachyglossus aculeatus (Australian echidna)
Lineage: Eukaryota; Metazoa; Chordata; Mammalia; Monotremata; Tachyglossidae
Exons: 3
Source: RefSeq, a predicted model, not a curated record